AUACGGAGGAUGCGAGCGUUAUCCGGAUUUAUUGGGUUUAAAGGGUGCGUAGGCUGUUUUUCAAGUCAGGGGUGAAAUGCCGGGGCUCAACUCCGGAGCUGCCCUUGAUACUGGGAGGCUGGAAUACUGUUGCCGUGGGAGGAAUGAGUAGUGUAGCGGUGAAAUGCAUAGAUAUUACUCAGAACACCGAUUGCGAAGGCAUCUCACGAAGCAGUGAUUGACGCUGAGGCACGAAAGCGUGGGGAUCAAACAGGAUUAGAUACCCUGGUAGUCCACGCAGUAAACGAUGAUAACUAACCGUUGGCGAUAGACAGCCAGUGGCCAAGCGAAAGCGAUAAGUUAUCCACCUGGGGAGUACGACCGCAAGGUUGAAACUCAAAUGAAUUGACGGGG
This 393-nucleotide ribosomal RNA is filed under the name uncultured bacterium. Its description in RNAcentral is "partial 16S ribosomal RNA". It matches the Rfam family "Bacterial small subunit ribosomal RNA", at positions 523 to 918 of the family's 1533-position model. The record is from RNAcentral.